UAGAUUCUAUCAUAGUUCUUCCUAUAUCCACAUCAUUUAUGACGAAUGGAAGAGUCAACCACCCUGGAUCCUUCAUUUUAGGUGGAUGAUGUUUCUUUCUCGACUGCACAAGCAGUUCCUGUUCUUCUUCAUCUUUAUCUAAAUCUAUCACCUCUCCAAGAUAAUACUUAAUUUUCUUAGAGUAAACAGGAAUUUGAGGAUGAUUUUCAUUUAAAGGAACAAUAGUCACCUGAUUAAAAAUUUCUCUAAUAUGCCCAUUGUGACCAUCUCUUCUUUCCUCAUUUUCUCUCUCAUUUUUAUCAAACCUCUCCUCUUUUUUAUCUUCUUCACCAUUCUUAAUCUCAUCACUCCCACUCAUCUCUUCAUCUUCCUCCUCACUACUUUCUAUCUCAAUAACUUCCUCCUCUGCUUUUCUUUUCUCCCUUGUUACAACAACAUGACACUCCUCCUUAGGAUUAACAUCAGUAUUAACCCUGAGUUGAUUCUUUUAUGUGGUCUCAACCCUUUUUGACAGUUGACCAAGUUGCA
RNAcentral lists this long non-coding RNA (528 nucleotides) under Vigna radiata. Its description in RNAcentral is "long non-coding RNA (VRAD_LNC013693)". Lineage: Eukaryota; Viridiplantae; Streptophyta; Magnoliopsida; Fabales; Fabaceae. The record is from RNAcentral.